UUCGCCUCCCUCAUGAGGAGGGAUCUCAGGCUCUCCUAAAGCCGGUGUCGCAGGUUCGAAUCCUGCCGGGGGCA
Molecule: transfer RNA, 74 nt
Filed under: Mycobacterium rhizamassiliense
Lineage: Bacteria; Bacillati; Actinomycetota; Actinomycetes; Mycobacteriales; Mycobacteriaceae
Description: Mycobacterium sp. AB57 partial tRNA-Arg
Source: RNAcentral